This 48-nucleotide non-coding RNA is filed under the name Schistosoma mansoni. Lineage: Eukaryota; Metazoa; Platyhelminthes; Trematoda; Strigeidida; Schistosomatidae. The record is from RNAcentral.
CUCCAGCUAACGAGUCCCAAAUAGGACGAAAUGCGCGUCAAACUGGAU